CUCUGUUAUCCUAGCUUUGAAGUCCAUGCUUUGACAUUAACCUUUUGGUUUUAAGUCACUGAAAUAUGGUUUUGGCUGUAAUUUUGUGGUAAUUGUCGAGGUCCCAGGUCUCUUGCAAACUUCAGGAGGUUUUCUUCCAGGGUUAUUUGUACUUAUCUCCAACCAUUUUGCUCUCAAUCCUCACAGUCUUUCCUGUUGAAAGAAUGACACAGGAACCUAUCAAAUCACAAACCCAUCUAACAAGUAUGAGCCUGGUGGGGGCUGAGCAUGCAACCCUGAGGGGUUGGUUUUAGUCCCCAAAAUGAGCUGUCAGAUAAGUUACUGCCUGCACUAAUCCACUGUUUGUCAAACCCCAACUAUGUAAAGCAAUGGAUAACAGUGAAAAACAUCUACUUGGAAAGGAUUUCACCACUAGUCAUGUUAUUUAAACAUUCCCUUGGGCACCAUUCAACACCUGAAUUAGAAGCUUUUCCAAUGAACUGAGCUGGAAGUUACGUAAUAUGGCUCAGUCAAUUUGUGUGUACCUGUGUCCCUCCUCUUUCAGGAUGCAUCAGGAAAGAUCAGGUCUAACAUCGGGUUAGGUCAGGUCUAACAUCAGGAAAGGUCAGGUCUAACAUCAGGUUAGGUCAGGUCUAAUACCAGGAGGGGGCAGGUCAAACAUCAGGAGAGGGCAGGUCUAACACCAGGAGAGGGCAGGUCUAACACCAGGAGAGGGCAUGUCUAACACCAGGAGAGGGCAGGUCUAACACCAGGAGAGGGCAGGUCUAACACCAGGAGAGGGCAGGUGUCUAACAUCAGGGGAGGGCUGG
This is a long non-coding RNA of Esox lucius (northern pike), 809 nucleotides long. The record is from Ensembl. NCBI's taxonomy places the organism in Eukaryota, Metazoa, Chordata, Actinopteri, Esociformes, Esocidae.